AAAAUGUUUAUUUUUGGCACAUGCGCAGCGCAUGCAGUUCUUGAGCCACUUACAGAAAAUGAUUCAUCAAUUUAUUGAUUGAAUGCUGUCUGUAUUUAAAGUAGUUCUGAAGUAAGUACAAUUAAAUGUGCUUUUUUUCCUGUGAACUACAAACACACGUUUCACACAUUCUCAAGUCAUCAUAUUUUAUAAUAGCCUAUUUAUUUAUGCUGCCAACACACUGUCAAUGACACUGACUCAACUCCAGCCACUUUAAUAAUGGGAAUUGAUGGGAAAUGAUGUAAAUAUAUCACUAGCCACUUUAAACAAUGCUACCUUGAAUAAUGUAGGGUAAGUAACAUUAUAUAUCUCAUAUGCAUACGUAUAUACUGUACUCUAUAUCAUCGACUGCAUCCUUAUGUAAUACAUGUAUCACUAGCCACUUUAACUAUGCCACUUGGUUUACAUACUCAUCUCAUAUGUAUAUACUGUACUCGAUAUCAUCUACUGUAUCUUGCCUAUGCUGCUCUGUACCAUCACUCAUUCAUAUAUCCUUAUGUACAUAUUCUUUAUCCCCUUACACUGUGUAUAAGACAGAAGAUUUUUGGAAUUGUUAGUUAGAUUAGUUGUUCGUUAUUACUGCAUUGUCGGAACUAGAAGCACAAGCAUUUCGCUACACUCGCAUUAACAUCUGCUAACCAUGUGUAUGUGACAAAUAAAAUUUGAUUUGAUUUAUUUAUAUUCAUUCCAGAAAAAAAAGUGUGUGAUGAGAAAAUGGCAACACAGUUGACAAUAUUGGAUUUGUUUUGUCUGAUAGAACUAGUGGGCAGCUUUUGUCCUUGAGCCUGUGUGAGAAGGCUGAUUCCCAAAGGGAAGAAAUAUCCAGAACUCUCUCAUUUGUUCAUGAGACCCACGAGCAGGUUUAAGCUCCUUUUUUUUAACCUGUAUUUUACUAGGCAAGUCAGUUAAGAACAAAUUCUUAUUUUCAAUGACAGCCUAGGAACAGUGGGUUAACUGCCUGUUCAGGGGCAGAACGACAGAUUUUGUACCUUGUCAGCUCUGGGGUUUGAACUUGCAACCUUCCGGUUACUAGUUCAACGCUCUAACCACUAGGCUACCCUGAACAAUAUGCCAACAUAUUUGAGUGAAGCGAGAAUAUUGUAGCGCUAGGUCAGGUUGGAAUGUCUCUUUCAUAUGUAAAUGUUGCUCAACUUCAGAAUAAAUGUAUCAUUACCUUCUCGUAUUGUAUUAAGUUGUAAUUUUAUGAUACUGUAGAUGUCUAAUGUAACAAAAUGGAUCCACCCCUGUCCUAAAUUUACUGGACUUUGAACUUCUAAUUCCUGACAUCAGACUACAAACUUUGAAAGCCAAUAACCAAAGGGAGAGCAAAUGUUUGCUUCUUCUUUGACCAAGGGCAGUGUCAGAGCCCUGUAAAAAACAGACAGGAGAACUGCCCAUCUCUGCUUGGUUGUAACUGCGUGGGAGAAGUCCGUUUUCCAUUUCAGUUUUCACAUCAAAUCAAAUCAAAUCAAAUUUAUUUAUAUAGCCCUUCGUACAUCAGCUGAUAUCUCAAAGUGCUGUACAGAAACCCAGCCUAUAACCCCAAACAGCAAGCAAUGCAGGUGUAGAAGCACGGUGGCUAGGAAAAACUCCCUAGAAAGGCCAAAACCUAGGAAGAAACCUAGAGAGGAACCAGGCUAUGUGGGGUGGCCAGUCCUCUUCUGGCUGUGCCGGGUGGAGAUUAUAACAGAACAUGGCCAAGAUGUUCAAAUGUUCAUAAAUGACCAGCAUGGUCGUAUAAUAAUAAGGCAGAACAGUUGAAACUGGAGCAGCAGCACGGUCAGAUGGACUGGGGACAGCAAGGAGUCAUCAUGUCAGGUAGUCCUGGGGCAUGGUCCUAGGGCUCAGGUCCUCAGAGAGAGAGAAGGAGAGAAUUAGAGAACACACACUUAGAUUCACACAGGACACCGAAUAGGACAGGAGAAGUACUCCAGAUAUAACAAACUGACCCUAGCCCCCCGACACAUAAACUACUGCAGCAUAAAUACUGGAGGCUGAGACAGGAGGGGUCAGGAGACACUGUGGACCCAUCCGAGGACACCCCCGGACAGGGCCAAACAGGAAGGAUAUAACCCCACCCACAUCACAUUUGAAGUGCAAGUAAUCUACAUCUUGCAGUCUCAUCUGUGUGUGUCUUUGCACAUAUUCCUGACUAAGGUAAUAGUAAUUAGGUCAUAACUACUGUGUGAAACUUUACCAACUUAAGGGUGUCUCGUUUUCCCUCACUGUGGUUUACAAAGGUGUUGCUAUUGCACAUUUCCCUAGUAUGUACUUAGACCUUGUCAUAGAGAGAAAAGCCUAAGUUAGCAGGGAAAUGGUGGCCUCUGUAGAAGGUGCAUUUUCAUAUCUCAUUUGCAUUGUCAUAGAGGGAACGAUGCUUGAUUCUGGCAACACAACCUUCUUAGAGUAUCUGUGCCUUUCAAAGAUUAAUCCUGGUUUUCAUUUGUGCCACAAAGUUGGCUUGGCCCCCAAAAAACAUUAAAGGGACCUUUGUGGAGGGCCUUUUACAGAGAGCUUAAUUUCAAAUGCCUUUUAAUCUGCUUUAAUCCGUAGCAGAGAUCACAUCAUUAAAAUAGAUUUUGGAGGGGGAAAGUAUUUGUAUAACUUUGUAUCCUGUCCACCUUGAUUAUUGAUUUAACUAAAUAAAUUGACAGAUUUGUUAGAAAAAGGCCCUGCCUUUCACACAUACAGUAUCACAGGUGCAAUGGAAGUAAUAAAAUAGAUAAUUUAUAUUAUAUAAAGAUGAUAUAAUCUAGCUAAUUCAAUAAAAUUACUAAACAUGGAACAGCUUAAUAACUAUCCUGGUUAUUACCAGAACACUGCCCUUGCCAAAGCCAUUGCAUCAUCCUACCUAAAAGCCUGAUGUCCAACUCCAAUAUAAGCUUAGCUAAAGCCACUUAAUGUCAAAAAUCAUCUGUCUCAGAACCCUAAUUACAACACUGCAGGGAAGACAACAAAAACCUUUCUUUUUUUUUCCCUGGCCAAGGAAAAUGUUGAUGGUUCUUGGGAAUAGAGAUUAAUAUGUAAGGCUGCAAUACAAAUUGAUCACGGAUGAUGCUUCAUGUUAUGUGCAGUGUCUGUGCUGAUGUGUGGUGUGGUUAGUAUUGUGACAUUUCAAUCUGCUGAUUAUAUUUAGCAAAAAACAAGACUCAUGAACAUUAAUUCAUUGCAUACCAUUCUCCAGUGAUAAAAUGUGUCCGACAUAUGUCAUCUAGUGGUAGAUACUAACAAGUGUUUUUCUUUCCUUUCCAUUUCAGGUUGGCAUUGAAAGGCACUAUGGCUGACCGGUGGCUUCAAACGCUCUCAAUGGCCAAUGGAUACCAUCAGCAAUCCAGCAUUUAUAUGUAAUUCAUCGUAACAAGGAUGAAUCAUCAGCCUUCCUACCUUAAAGGGGAAAUUCACACAUUUUAACAUGUGGCAUUAUUUUUACUCUUUCUGUGCUUGUAAUUGAUCCCCCUCCAAAUAUUAAAAAAAACAAUGUUUUGUUAGAGAGAAAAUUGAUUGUCACUUUGACUACAAUGCAGUAUGAAAACGUGUCGAAAGUAUGUUAUAAAAUGCUCAAAAACACUCCAGACCAACUCAUAUUACAUCAGAAUCUCAUUCUGGAUGUCUCUACACUCAAUCCUUGUUUUUUUCCCCCACUGUUCAAUAAAUUCAUGUUUGAAUUGAAUUACAACAACAAAAUUAUGCAAAUAUGGAUUUAUUGGACAGUGGACAUUUCUCUCAAAUUGAGUGCAGAGACAUUAUACAGAAUAAGAUUCUGAUUUAAAACGUUUCAUAACAUGCUUCUUUCUACACAUUUUCAUAAUGCAUUGUAGUCUUUAGCAAGUGAUGAGAGCAAAAUGUGAUUUCCAAUUUUCUCUCUAACAAAACUAAAUAUAUAAAAAACAGUUUGGGCGAUCAACAGAAGCACAGAAAGAGUGAGGAUAAGGCCACAUGUAAAAAUGGGUGAACUUCCCCUUUAAGGUAGGAAAGCUGA
This is a long non-coding RNA of Oncorhynchus tshawytscha (Chinook salmon), 4018 nucleotides long. Lineage: Eukaryota; Metazoa; Chordata; Actinopteri; Salmoniformes; Salmonidae. The record is from Ensembl.